UUUGGGUGGUAAAUUCCUUUCGCAUUCGAGGAAGCCACUUGUGGUGACGGUAGGUAGAUAAGAAGCACCGGCUAACUACGUGCCAGCAGCCGCGGUAAUACGUAGGGUGCAAGCGUUGUCCGGAAUUACUGGGCGUAAAGAGCUCGUAGGUGGUUUGUCGCGUCGUCUGUGAAAUCCCGGGGCUUAACUUCGGGCGUGCAGGCGAUACGGGCAUAACUUGAGUGCUGUAGGGGAGACUGGAAUUCCUGGUGUAGCGGUGAAAUGCGCAGAUAUCAGGAGGAACACCGAUGGCGAAGGCAGGUCUCUGGGCAGUUACUGACGCUGAGGAGCGAAAGCAUGGGUAGCGAACAGGAUUAGAUACCCUGGUAGUCCAUGCCGUAAACGGUGGGCGCUAGGUGUAGGGGGCUUCCACGUCUUCUGUGCCGUAGCUAACGCAUAAGCGCCCCGCCU
Molecule: ribosomal RNA, 450 nt
Filed under: Corynebacterium stationis
Lineage: Bacteria; Bacillati; Actinomycetota; Actinomycetes; Mycobacteriales; Corynebacteriaceae
Description: bacterial SSU rRNA
Rfam family: Bacterial small subunit ribosomal RNA
Source: RNAcentral